This 124-nucleotide small RNA is filed under the name Arabidopsis thaliana (thale cress). RNAcentral describes it as "ATSL202420". Lineage: Eukaryota; Viridiplantae; Streptophyta; Magnoliopsida; Brassicales; Brassicaceae. The record is from RNAcentral.
UCAAUCAAUAUGUCUGAGUAAUCUGCUUGUUAGGAGUAGGGUUUCUCAUUAGGGAUUCAUAUGGUUUAGUAGAUUGCCCCCUUGCUAAGUUAUCUGUAGAAUUCUUCAUCUUUAAUUAUGCUUA